RNAcentral lists this ribosomal RNA (495 nucleotides) under uncultured bacterium. Its description in RNAcentral is "partial 16S ribosomal RNA". It matches the Rfam family "Bacterial small subunit ribosomal RNA", at positions 28 to 507 of the family's 1533-position model. The record is from RNAcentral.
GAUGAACGCUGGCGGCGUGCCUAAUACAUGCAAGUAGAACGCUGAAGGAGGAGCUUGCUCUUCUGGAUGAGUUGCGAACGGGUGAGUAACGCGUAGGUAACCUGCCUGGUAGCGGGGGAUAACUAUUGGAAACGAUAGCUAAUACCGCAUGACAACAGUUAUUGCAUGAUAACUGUUUAAAAGGGGCAACUGCUCCACUACCAGAUGGACCUGCGUUGUAUUAGCUAGUUGGUGAGGUAACGGCUCACCAAGGCGACGAUACAUAGCCGACCUGAGAGGGUGAUCGGCCACACUGGGACUGAGACACGGCCCAGACUCCUACGGGAGGCAGCAGUAGGGAAUCUUCGGCAAUGGACGGAAGUCUGAACGAGCAACGCCGCGUGAGUGAAGAAGGUUUUCGGAUCGUAAAGCUCUGUUGUAAGAGAAGAACGAGUGUGAGAGUGGAAAGUUCACACUGUGACGGUAUCUUACCAGAAAGCGACGGCUAACUACGUG